Zingiber officinale is the source of this 107-nucleotide small nucleolar RNA. The record is from RefSeq and is a predicted model, not a curated record. Lineage: Eukaryota; Viridiplantae; Streptophyta; Magnoliopsida; Zingiberales; Zingiberaceae.
AAACCAUGAUGAGAACACUACUUUAAUAAACUUUUGAAUCUCUCUCAUGCUUCAAAUAGUGAUUCUCCAUCUGCCAAAGCAAAACUUGUAAUGCACUUCCUCAUAAU